This is a non-coding RNA of Schistosoma mansoni, 49 nucleotides long. The record is from Rfam. NCBI's taxonomy places the organism in Eukaryota, Metazoa, Platyhelminthes, Trematoda, Strigeidida, Schistosomatidae.
CUACUGCUGAGGAGUCCCAUAAUAGGACGAAACGGCCAUCAAUUUGUAC